CCUACGGGGUGCACCAGUAGGGAAUAUUGGGCAAUGGAUGCAAGUCUGACCCAGCCAUGCCGCGUGCCGGAUGAAGGCCCUCAGGGUUGUAAACGGCUUUUAUUCGGGAAGAAGAGCAGGGAUGCGUCCUUGUGUGACGGUACCGAAUGAAUAAGCACCGGCUAACUCCGUGCCAGCAGCCGCGGUAAUACGGAGGGUGCGAGCGUUGUCCGGAUUUAUUGGGUUUAAAGGGUGCGUAGGUGGCUUUAUAAGUCAGUGGUGAAAUACGGUUGCUCAACGAUCGAGGUGCCAUUGAUACUGUAAAGCUUGAAAUAAUUGGAGGCUGCCGGAAUGGAUGGUGUAGCGGUGAAAUGCAUAGAUAUCAUCCAGAACACCGAUUGUGAAGGCAGGUGGCUACGAUUGGUUUGACACUGAGGCACGAAAGCAUGGGGAGCAAACAGGAUUAGAUACCCUGGUAGUC
Molecule: ribosomal RNA, 460 nt
Filed under: uncultured bacterium
Lineage: Bacteria
Description: bacterial SSU rRNA
Rfam family: Bacterial small subunit ribosomal RNA
Source: RNAcentral